Molecule: ribosomal RNA, 115 nt
Filed under: Escherichia coli
Lineage: Bacteria; Pseudomonadati; Pseudomonadota; Gammaproteobacteria; Enterobacterales; Enterobacteriaceae
Source: RNAcentral
UCUGGCGGCAGUAGCGCGGUGGUCCCACCUGACCCAUGCCGAACUCAGAAGUGAAACGCCGUAGCGCCGAUGGUAGUGUGGGGACUCCCCAUGCGAGAGUAGGGAACUGCCAGAC